Pezoporus flaviventris is the source of this 761-nucleotide long non-coding RNA. RefSeq lists it as uncharacterized. NCBI's taxonomy places the organism in Eukaryota, Metazoa, Chordata, Aves, Psittaciformes, Psittacidae. The record is from RefSeq and is a predicted model, not a curated record. The transcript has 2 exons.
UUGAAGUGUUUUUGAUUAACUAUAUGCGAUAAUGAAAACCAUGAGAACGACCUUAUGCAGAAGUUCUCUCUUUCUGAUGUUACAUAUAAAACAGCGGAAGUCUUACAAUAUUUAACACAUAGCUUUUUCUCUCCUCCUGCUCAUUCCCCAACACCCUCCAAGCCAGAGAAAAAGCUAAUUAUGGAAGUGUUAGAAAUGGUGGUAUACCAAGACUUCAGCCUUCUAUAAGGAGCAAAGCUAUGCCCAGAAUGGAAAAGAAGAAUCAAGUACAACUGAGAAUUCAUUGAUUCUGUUUUAUGCUAACAAAAUGACCUCCAAACUGAAGCCAAUUUAGAUCAAAACAAACCCUGUUGGAGAUUUUAGAUUGUAGAUUUGAGCAUUGCAAACUAAAACUGCAUGUACUCUGGGCAUAAACUGUUUUGAAGCGAAAAAUAAUUCUACAGCAGUUAAAACUGCUGUGUAUACUCCUGCCAAGGCCACGUUAUUAGGGCUUUGUAAAAUGCUGCAUUGGGCUAAGAACUUCUUAUAGCUUGUUGGCUUGUUACAGUUAGGGGAAUCAACUUUUGUUGGUGUGUAUUUGUUAAUUAAUUUCACAUCAUUUGGCAAAUGGGCAAACAUUUCAGUACAGGACUGUAUGUAAUCACCCUCUCUGUAGAAAAAAAUCAAGAAGGUAUUAAAUAAAGCUGAAACAGCCUUUGUCAACUCCAGCAGAAGAACAGUGGGUACAACAGCAAUUAGUAAGAACUGGUCCCAUCUUUUUU